AGAUAUCAAACUAAGUUACACUUCGAUCAAUUUAAACUGAAGGUGAAGCAGAUGAUGCCCAAUAGGCUUAUGCGACGUGGUGAGCGCAUGUGCCAGAGGCGUCGUCAGAGUUCAGAGAAAAUGAGACAGCUAGUGUGCCCUUUGUACCAUGUUACGUACAGUAACUUGCCUAAACACCUGGCCGGGGUUCACAUAUCGGGCUUGCA
Long non-coding RNA from Astyanax mexicanus (Mexican tetra), 206 nucleotides. RefSeq lists it as uncharacterized. NCBI's taxonomy places the organism in Eukaryota, Metazoa, Chordata, Actinopteri, Characiformes, Acestrorhamphidae. The transcript is spliced from 3 exons. The record is from RefSeq and is a predicted model, not a curated record.